CUAGAGCCCUGUAUUGUAUCCGGCUAUGUGUAGGUUAAUGAUCCCAAGGCUUGAGCAUGGGAGUGGGCUGGCCCCACCGAAUGGACUGAAACGUCCAUACACCUACGGGUGGCUGCAGUCGAGAAUCUCGGCAAUGAACGAAGUCGACGAGCGACGCCGCGGAUUGAUGAAGCUUUCCGAGGUGUAAGAUCUUUAUGAGGGAGAAGUUUAUUGACGGUACCUCAUGAUAAGGGGCUCCUAAUUCUCGUGCCAGCAGGAGCGGUAAUACGAGAGCCCCGAGCGUUAUCCGGAAUUAUUGGGCGUAAAGGGUGCGUAGGUGGUCGUGUUAGUCGUUUGUCAAAUCCUCGGGCUUAACCUGAGAACUGCGAACGGAACGGCACAACUUGAGAGUGUGAGGGGUGAAUGGAACUCAUGGUGUAGGGGUGAAAUCCGUUGAUAUCAUGGGGAACACCAAAAGCGAAGGCAAUUCACUGGCACAUAUCUGACACUCAAGCACGAAAGCGUGGGUAGCGAAUGGGAUUAGAUACCCCAGUAGUCCACGCCCUAAACGAUGAUCUCUAGUCUUUCGGAGUAUCGACCCUCUGAGAGACGUAGCUAACGCGUUAAGAGAUCCGCCUGGGAAAUACGGCCGCAAGGCUAAAACUCAAAGGAAUAGACGGGGACUUGCACAAGCAGUGGAUUAUGUGGUUUAAUUCGACGAUAAGCGAAGAACCUUACCAAGGUUAGAAAUCAACGUGAAAGCCCCGAGAAACCGGGGCCCUCGCAAGACUAGUUGACAGGUGUUGCAUGGCCGUCGUCAGUUCGUGGUUUGAAUUGUUCCCUUAAGUGGGGUAACGAACGCAACCCUCGUCGUGUGUUACAAGUGUCACACGAGACUGCUCCGACCAAAGGACGUAAUUGUAAUUUUACAAUUGUUUCUUUCGGUCGGAGAGGAAGGAGAGGAUGACGCCAGGUCAGCAUGACCCUUGAUACCUUGGGCUACACACAUAAUACAAUCGCUACUACAACGGGCUGCGACGAGGUAACUCUGAGCUAAUCCUUCAAAAGUAGCGCCAGUUCGGAUUGGGGGCUGCAACUCGACCCCAUGAAGUUGGAAUUGCUAGUAAUCGCGGGUCAGACAUACCGCGGUGAAUACGUUCUCAAGUCUUGUACUCACCGCCCGUCAAUUCAAGGGAGCCGGGAGUACCCGAAGUCUCUCCAUACGGAGGGCCUACGGUAAGCUCGGUGACAGGGAAUAAGUCGUAACAAGGUAACCA
RNAcentral lists this ribosomal RNA (1256 nucleotides) under uncultured bacterium. RNAcentral describes it as "bacterial SSU rRNA". It matches the Rfam family "Bacterial small subunit ribosomal RNA", at positions 223 to 1502 of the family's 1533-position model. The record is from RNAcentral.